CGGGUGGACAUUUGAACCCCAAAACCCUCGAAGGAAAACGGCUCCGAUUCCGCCCCCUCGUGUCUGGAGGUUACCCAUUUCUUCUCUUCUCUCUUUCGAGAUGUUAGAAUUCUAAACAUAUCUUUCCUUCUUCACGAAAUUUAUACCUAUAUUUCUCCUUUCUAUUGACCCAAGCCAUAGCAACUGAGAAAGUCGCAAUCUUUUCUCCCCAGAUGUUCCCGUACUGGAAUCCCAAACCUUUUCCCAGACGUCCAUGCGGCGGCUCGCCAAGAUCCCAUUUUCUCUUCUCAAAAAACCAACCACCACUCCGAUUUCCCACCGCUUCUCUUCCUCGGCAUCCGCCUCUCUUAUUCAAGUAGUCCCGGAGGAGAAAGAGACCUCCAGCUCAAAUUCAAGCCCCUCUUCGCAAGAUUCUUGUGGAUUCUCAUCUGUUGAGGUUCUUCAAACCUUGAGCAGUCUCGAGAGGAAGCCCGACGCUGCUUUCGCCUUCUUUAACAACACCAAGAGCCUCGGUUUUCGGCACGACUUUUCCAGCUACUCGGAGAUGGUUCGCAUCUUAGACAACUCGGGACACAAGAAAAAGUUGAUAUCUUUGUGCUCGGAGCUCAUUUCGUCGAAUACCAAUAUGGGUUUUGAAGUCUCAGCUCUCUUUGAUGCCCUUUUGCAGAGAUUCCAUCGGCCGGAGAUGUUACUUCUUCUGUUUGAUGCAUUGAUCAAGGCGUACGCCAUUUGUGGGAAGCCCAAGGAGGCUGCCCGCGCUUUCUUCCAGCUUCCUGGACUCGGUUUCGUACCGUCAGCAAAGUCUUGCAAUUUUCUUAUGAAUUUCCUGGCUAAAGUUGGUGACUUGGAGAUGGUGAUGGCUGUUUUUGAUCAGAUGAAGAGGUUUGGAACGAGCCGGGAUGCUUGCACAUUUACCAUUUUGAUCAAAGCAUUCUGCCGAGCUGGGCAAGUAGAAGAGGCGCUUGACGUUUUGAAUGGAAUGAAGGAGAUGGGAAUUAAGCCUGAUGAGAUCACUUACCUGACGGUUAUAGAAGGGAUGUGCAACAAUGGGAAAUCGGAUUUGGGUUAUGUAUUUCUUAAAGAGAUUGUAAGAGAGGGCACCCCUUUGGAGCACAUCGCUUAUAAUAAGGUGAUUGGUGGCUUGUGUAGAGAGAUGAGGCUUCAGGAGGCUGAAAAAGUUUUGGAGGACAUGGCAAGACAGAAUAUGCUCCCUGAUAUGUUUAGUUACAAAUUUCUUAUUAGAGGUUAUUGUGCAAGCAAGAACCUCUUAAGAGUUUUAGAUCUUUAUGAGGAGAUGAUUGCGAAGGGUAUCGGACCAGAUCAUGUCGUUGUGAGCCUUUUGCUCCAAUGUUUUUGUAAAGCAGGCAUGGCGUCUGAGGCUUUAGUCUACUUUAAGAGGUUUAAGGACUCAGGACUUUACCUUGACAAGAUUUUAUAUAAUAUUGUGAUAGAUGUUCACUGCAAGAUGGGAAAUAUGAACGAGGCGGUUCAACUGCUUCAAGAGAUGAAGUGCCAGGGCUUGGUUCCAGAUAGAAUCCAUUUCACGAAUUUGAUAAAUGGGUACUGCUGCAAGGGUGAAAUGUAUAAUGCUCACAAAGUGUUUACUGAUAUGGUGAACAGCAAUGUGGAGCCCGACCUUGUUACCUACAAUAUACUUGCUACUGGAUUUUGUAGGAAUGGGCUUACGAAGGAGGCAUUUGAUCUUCUAGAAUAUAUGUUGGACAGAGGUGUUGAGCCUAAUGCUACCACCUAUAGUAUGAUUAUUGUGAGCCUCUGUAGAGGUGGCAAGUUAAAGGAGGCAACUCUACUAUUUAAAUCCUUAGAGGGGAGGGGGAUCGAUCAAUAUUUAGUUCUUUGUAGUGCUAUGGUUUGUGGGUACUUAGAAUGUAGUUGUACAAGAGAAGCUUAUGCACUUUUCAUUAGAGUCUCUAAGCAAGGACAUCUAGUGAAUGAGAUUGCAUGCUCCAAACUUAUUUCUGAGCUUUGUAGGGAGGGAGAUGUAGAGAGAGCUUCCAUGGUGUUUGAGUUGAUGCUCAAGAUGGAUGUUACCCCAGAUGUAAUUUCCUAUAGCAAACUUAUUGCAGCUUAUUCUCAGAUUGGAGAUAUGAGACAUGCUCGGGUUUGGUUUAAGGAUCUGAUUGUACGAGGGCUUUCCCCUGAUGUUGUUUUGUACACUACACUAAUGAAUGGGUACUGCAAGGUUAAUCAUUUACAAGAAGCCUGCAAAUUGUUUGUUGAUAUGAUAGAACGAGGGAUUAAACCUGAUGUAGUUGCAUACACAGUUAUGUUGGAUGGUCAUUUGAAAGAAAUCUUGAGCCAAAGUUGGUUAAACCGUGACAAGGAAAAGGGAAGAGCUGAAAUAAGAGCCAAAUCUUCAACAUUGUUAAAUUGGAUGACCACCAUGGGGAUCAAACCUGAUGUCAUUUUUUGCACCGUAUUGAUUGAUGGACAAUGCAAGAUGGAUCAUGUUCAGGAUGCCCAUAAAUUAUUUGAAGAGAUGAUGGUAGGUGGGGUGAUGCCUGAUGUAGUCACCUAUACUACUUUAGUAAGUGGUUACUGCAGACAGGGAGAAGUAUGUAAGGCUGAAGACCUGUUAGAAGAUAUGCUAGAUCGAACAAUACCACCUGAUGCUGUCUCAUUUUUUGUCCUGGAUCGGUGGAGCUUGAGGUUCAGAUGUUUACAGCUCCGACAAUAAUUCUUGUUUUGGAAAGUUGUGAGGAGACAAACAUAACAUCUUGUCUUAGGAGGCAAUGCAAUACUUUUAUUUCUCAGACUGCAUAAAUGCCUUAAAGUGCAGUGGAAGAUUCUACCACAGGAUUGCUAAAGCUCCAAUGUAACAGGCUUAAGCUUCUCUGUUUCCGUCCAUGGUUUAUGUUGAGCUUCAGCUUUGACAUUGAAUUUAGUACAAGAUGCCUUAUGCCAUAUUCUAGGAACAUCCACAUGUUUGAACUGAUUGAGAGUGAAAUCCAAUGGUCAAAGGUAAGGGAUCUAGCACCUUACUUGAAGAUCUUCUUGAGGAAAUUUCCUGUUGCGUAAUAUCCACAGUAGCAUUGAAAGAUGUUGGCAGUACUUGUAUUUUUCCACAGAUAUGGAGAUACGCUUGGGUUUUGAUUUACCAACAAGCCCCAGUGAAUUCAUUCAAUUAAAACACUUGGUGCUGAUCUUUCUCAGUGGCUUGGAUGAGGAAGAAAACUGUUUUGGAUUGAUUUCUCUUCUUAAUGCUGCUCCUAUACUGGAGAAAUUUGAGUUGCAUGUAUGUCAUUUUAUCCUGACCAUUCUAUGUUAGCCAUAUAGAGAAUCUGUUAUAGAUGAUUUCUCUAUGAUAAUUCACCACUUAACUAUAAAUCUGAAUAGCCCAUUCCACAAGCACCUUGGAGAGUAUCCUAAUCUAAAAGCCAAGAAAACCACAAAGUUCAUUUUCAGUUUAGGUUGUAAUAGCAUUAUUCAAUAUGCCAAAAUUUAGAACCUUUCAACCAACCAUAAGCUUCUACUUUGGGUUGUAGAGUGCUGAAACCAACGAACUAAUUAUUUUUGUGCAUUAAAAAUAGAUCGAGCUUAUGUUACUAUAUUAGUUUUCUAGAAAUCUCUGGAAAAUAGUAGAACAUUGAGCAACAUAAAACUAUAUAUAAGAAAAACCUGGGACAGAAUUCUGCAUCUGCUUGAAUCAAUUUUGUAUGUCUUCUCAUGGUUCAUGUAGUUAAGCUUGAGCCAUUCAUUUAAAUUUGAGCAAAAUUUGAGUUGCCCAAGAACAACUCAUCUAAUAGAUUCAGCGAGAGUAGAAGAUUCCUUGAGGUUUGGGGCCACAAAUCUAUCCCUUAGAUUUGGUAUACGCAGAAUGAGAGAUGAGAGCGAUUCUUUCAAAUUAGCUAACUUAUAAUUGCUCAUUUUUCCAAAACAUUUCAAAUAACUAUUUUAAUGAUGUUAUCCAAUAUUGAUUGCAGCUGCCUUUUCCCAUCUUGUAGUUCUAAUGGCAUCUAAGAACUUUAUUAUCAUCAUCAUCUUAUUUUUAUCAUUUUCAACCUAAGUGAUAUUUAUCAGAAAACAUCAAGCUGUUAAUGGGAGUUGAUUUUUAUCUUAAUGGAGCAGUAAUUGUAAAUGGUAGGCUCCUGUCAUUUACAAGGUACUCUAUUGUUUUGCACUGUUGAAUAUGGGGCAUCGCCGAAGGAGUGCCUUUGAGGUAUUAGCCAGUCUUGAUGUUGGCUAAUAUAAUUCACUGAUAUAGAAGGCAUGGUAGCAGAGAGUUAAUAGUAGAGGCAUCUAUUGCAUGUUAUGGACUUGUUCUCUGGUAAGUGCUACUGUAAGUCAAAAGUCUUAAGUACUUUCAUGUUGAUCACCAUUUUUUGCACUUUCAUAAGGUUUUUUACUGGAUUGACGCUGUAUAGGCAAACAGUUUGCUAUGCUUUUACUAGCUAUCAAGUAAUCUUUCAAUAGCAACAAUUCUUGCUAAAUCAUUGUUGUUUUAAGCAUGCAGUGUUUGAUGUACGGACAUGCAGGAGAAACCUGCCUAGUGACACCGUGAUCCAUUAGACCUUUCCUCUAGAUUUAGGCUGAGCCUUGUCAAGUUUUUCCAACAUGUUUACCUCUGAUUUGAGUCAACUUUUAGAUGCUAUUCUAGUCUUAGCCAAUCACCAUGUGGAGCUGGUGGCUGGUGUAACACCAACCUCUUUGAUGUAAGGGCAGUAUUUUGUUCUCUCGAAGUGAACAGGUGGAAUUUUUUCAUGCCUUCUGUGAUGCAAUUCACAGAAGAUAUCUUUUCAUUUUCCCCCUCUUUUCUUCUUCUUGUUGUUGUUUGUUGUGAUGUAACCAAGACAGGUGCAGUUGGUGCAAUCAUGAUUUCAAUCUUGAGAGCUUGCCUGCAUCACUUGGCAGGCAAUGAGGCCAAGGAGCUUCUUAAACAAGAUUAAGGCUUGGUCAUUGAGCUAAGCAGUUUAUUGUACUAGGUUUCUGUAGGCCAAUGUCAUGACAAGAGCUUUUCAUUUUUAAUAUUAGCUUGGGUUGGGUGCAGAUCAUUUGGCAGUCAGUCUGAAUCCAAUCCAGAAACAUAGAAAGUCAUCUAGUUCGAUCCGAUAAUCAAAUGAAUAGAGUUGUUAAAAGUGAUUCUCAGAGUCAUCCAAAUGCAAAUAACUGAAUCCAGUAACUGUCCUGCCAAUGCUUGACAUGUGAGGGAAAAGCAUCAAUGACUAUGACGAGAGAUCGAGGAAGCAUUAAUGAUUAUAAUCUUUUAGCUAAUAAUUUAUUUUUUUUUUGAUUUUUUCAGAAAAGGGGAAGGGAUUUAUAAAACCUCACCUAAAUGUAGGUGGGACUCAAACCUAGAUCAGUACCUUACUGACUAUUAGUUGGCAACUGCGAUGCGAUGCAGCUCUCAUAAACAGAUAGAUGACCAUAAUGGCCCAUAUAUACAAAUCAAAUUUAAAUGCUGAACCGUGAACCCAGAUUAUCUUGUAAGAAAUUAAAUUGUUGAUCUUGAGAGCCAUGGCUGUGCCAUGUCAUACUUUUUUUCUGAAAAAAAGAAAUUGGAAUUCUGCAGCGCUAUUUAAAGUAUAAGCUAGUAUUGCAGUCUCAUAAAUUUUAUAUUGCGCAUGAAAUGUUGAAUUGGAGAUAUAUGUUUGCUGGUAGGAAUAGACCUAUGUAGUAUAUGUAUGUAGUCUCCAAUUUGCAGCUUUCAAAUUUUUUUUUUUUAUAAUUUCCUUUUUUUUUGGUAGGAACAUGAUAAAAUAAUGUUAAUUGCAUGGGGUAUAAAGCGCUGAAAAGAGAAAUUAUAUAUGCAUGGCAAUUAAGUUCAAGAUGGGUGUAUAAAAGAAAAUUAUAUGAUUGCUUACUUGAUCUCCUUGUUUAGGUUGAGUUCUGAUAUAUGUUGGUGAGAUGGAAUUAACUUGCACCAAGCUAGGCCAAUAAGCAUGGACUUGGCUGAGCAAGGUUCAAGUCUGGGACCCAUGCAAGAGGAGAAACAUUUAUUGGAGGUCCCACGUACAUGGAUGGGUUAACUGCUCUGACAUCCUGGUGGAGGAUCCAGUGUUGCAUCCCUCUCCUUUUCUAGCACUUUUGUCCCUAUGAAAGGUACUCUUUGUUCUUUUGCCUGUUUCUACCAUUCACCUGUCCCUAUAAGGGUAGCAAGUUUUAGAUAUUCCCACAACUGAUAAUUUUUGUUAUCAUCAUCGUUUAUGAGGAGAUGGCAUUGGAUUCUGUAGAAAGCCGAGCAAUAAUUGAAAGGAUAUUUUAGGAACACUCUCCUGCCUUCAAUAAUUUGAAAGUGCCUAUCGAUCUCUCCGCAUCUUUCCUCAACUUAUCUUCUGAUGCCCGUCACAUACUAGUUCUUGAUGCACAUAUCUUUUUUAUGAAGAUGGAUUUGAUCAUCAUGGUUUGUAGAUGCCUUGCAGUAUGAAGAGUUCGCCUUAGAGCUUGUCGACAGCCAUUGCGAAGGUUUUGCAUUGCAUUGUUUCGGAAAUGCAGUCGAGCAAAUUAAGCUGCAUAAUCUUAAGGUUGUUCUAGCUCCUUACAGGCUUGUCUAUCCUUCUACAGAAAUUUCAAUAAUUUGAGGGAAUACUCUUAAUGCUGAGGGUUGAUAUGGUCAGACUGGCAAAUAAGACCAGCGAACAACCCAUGAGAGUUUCCUAAGCAUUCCCUUGUCUGCUUCCAUUUCCAGCUCAUCAACCUCGCUGUUGUUGGCUAGUCCAUCUCAACAUCCCACAUGGACAUUGGUGCCUCGCCGGCCCCUCGCUCUCUUCUUCUCCUCUCUCAUACCAUCCAUCUAUUCUUUCCUCCAAAAAAAA
Non-coding RNA from Phoenix dactylifera (date palm), 6770 nucleotides. Lineage: Eukaryota; Viridiplantae; Streptophyta; Magnoliopsida; Arecales; Arecaceae. The record is from RefSeq and is a predicted model, not a curated record.